UGGGGGAUAUUGCACAAUGGGCGAAAGCCUGAUGCAGCGACGCCGCGUGGGGGAUGAAGGCUUUCGGGUUGUAAACCUCUUUCGCUAUCGAACAAGGCCCGCUUAGGGUGGGUUGAGGGUAGGUGGAGAAGAAGCGCCGGCCAACUACGUGCCAGCAGCCGCGGUAAUACGUAGGGCGCGAGCGUUGUCCGGAAUUAUUGGGCGUAAAGGGCUUGUAGGCGGCUUGUUGCGCCUGCUGUGAAAACGCGGGGCUUAACUUCGCGCGUGCAGUGGGUACGGGCAGGCUUGAGUGUGGUAGGGGUGACUGGAAUUCCAGGUGUAGCGGUUGAAUGCGCAGAUAUCUGGAGGAACACCGAUGGCGAAGGCAGGUCACUGGGCCAUUACUGACGCUGAGGAGCGAAAGCAUGGGUAGCGAACAGG
This 420-nucleotide ribosomal RNA is filed under the name bacterium. RNAcentral describes it as "partial 16S ribosomal RNA". It matches the Rfam family "Bacterial small subunit ribosomal RNA", at positions 355 to 776 of the family's 1533-position model. The record is from RNAcentral.